RNAcentral lists this ribosomal RNA (497 nucleotides) under uncultured bacterium. RNAcentral's name for it is "partial 16S ribosomal RNA". It matches the Rfam family "Bacterial small subunit ribosomal RNA", at positions 28 to 507 of the family's 1533-position model. The record is from RNAcentral.
GACGAACGCUGGCGGCGUGCCUAAUACAUGCAAGUUGAGCGCUGAAGGUUGGUACUUGUACCAACUGGAUGAGCAGCGAACGGGUGAGUAACGCGUGGGGAAUCUGCCUUUGAGCGGGGGACAACAUUUGGAAACGAAUGCUAAUACCGCAUAAAAACUUUAAACACAAGUUUUAAGUUUGAAAGAUGCAAUUGCAUCACUCAAAGAUGAUCCCGCGUUGUAUUAGCUAGUUGGCGAGGUAAAGGCUCACCAAGGCGAUGAUACAUAGCCGACCUGAGAGGGUGGUCGGCCACAUUGGGAAUGAGACACGGCCCAAACUCCUGCGGGAGGCAGCAGUAGGGAAUCGUCGGCAAUGGACGAAAGGCUGACCGAGCAACGCCGCGUGAGUGAAGAAGGUUUUCGGAUCGUAAAACUCUGUUGGUAGAGAAGAACGUUGGUGAGAGUGGAAAGCUCAUCAAGUGACGGUAACUACCCAGAAAGGGACGGCUAACUACGUG